Molecule: ribosomal RNA, 492 nt
Filed under: uncultured bacterium
Lineage: Bacteria
Description: partial 16S ribosomal RNA
Rfam family: Bacterial small subunit ribosomal RNA
Source: RNAcentral
AGUGAACGCUGGCGGUAGGCCUAACACAUGCAAGUCGAACGGCAGCACAGUAAGAGCUUGCUCUUACGGGUGGCGAGUGGCGGACGGGUGAGGAAUACAUCGGAAUCUACUUUUUCGUGGGGGAUAACGUAGGGAAACUUACGCUAAUACCGCAUACGACCUACGGGUGAAAGCAGGGGAUCUUCGGACCUUGCGCGAUCGAAUGAGCCGAUGUCGGAUUAGCUAGUUGGCGGGGUAAAGGCCCACCAAGGCGACGAUCCGUAGCUGGUCUGAGAGGAUGAUCAGGCACACUGGAACUGAGACACGGUCCAGACUCCUACGGGAGGCAGCAGUGGGGAAUAUUGGACAAUGGGCGCAAGCCUGAUCCAGCCAUACCGCGUGUGUGAAGAAGGCCUUCGGGUUGUAAAGCCCUUUUGUUGGGAAAGAAGAGCAGCAGGUUAAUACCCCGCUGUUCUGACGGUACCCAAAGAAUAAGCACCGGCUAACUUCGUG